Molecule: ribosomal RNA, 301 nt
Filed under: uncultured bacterium
Lineage: Bacteria
Description: partial 16S ribosomal RNA
Rfam family: Bacterial small subunit ribosomal RNA
Source: RNAcentral
CAGCAGCCACGGGAAUACAGAGGGUGCGAGCGUUAAUCGGAUUUACUGGGCGUAAAGCGUGCGUAGGCGGCUUCUUAAGUCGGAUGUGAAAUCCCUGAGCUUAACUUAGGAAUUGCAUUCGAUACUGGGAAGCUAGAGUAUGGGAGAGGAUGGUAGAAUUCCAGGUGUAGCGGUGAAAUGCGUAGAGAUCUGGAGGAAUACCGAUGGCGAAGGCAGCCAUCUGGCCUAAUACUGACGCUGAGGUACGAAAGCGUGGGGAGCAAACAGGAUUAGAUACCCCAGUAGUCCCUGUCUCUUAUAC